CCUACGGGGGGCAGCAGUGAGGAAUAUUGGUCAAUGGGCGAGAGCCUGAACCAGCCAAGUCGCGUGAGGGAUGACGGUCCUAUGGAUUGUAAACCUCUUUUGUCGGGGAACAAAGGCGUCCACGUGUGGACUGAUGAGUGUACCCGAAGAAAAAGCAUCGGCUAACUCCGUGCCAGCAGCCGCGGUAAUAAGGGGGAUGCGAGCGUUAUCCGGAUUUAUUGGGGUUAAAGGGUGCGUAGGCGGACAGUCAAGUCAGCGGUAAAAAUGCGGUGAUCAACGCCAUACAGCCGUUGAAACUGGGAGUCUUGAGUGGGCGGGAAGUAUGCGGAAUGCGUGGUGUAGCGGUGAAAUGUAUAGAUAUCGCGCAGAACUCCGAUUGCGAAGGCAGCAUACCGGCGCCCUACUGACGCUGAGGCACGAAAGCGUGGGUAUCGAACAGGAUUAGAUACCCUUGUAGUC
RNAcentral lists this ribosomal RNA (459 nucleotides) under uncultured bacterium. RNAcentral describes it as "partial 16S ribosomal RNA". It matches the Rfam family "Bacterial small subunit ribosomal RNA", at positions 338 to 795 of the family's 1533-position model. The record is from RNAcentral.